CCGAUCGAACCUCCUUUGCCGACCCAGAUCGGUAAGCGGUUGAUGUUCAGACUCUACAGACAAUAGACUACUUCGACCUUUAGUAUUUCAGAGUUACUAACCGACAACCGACCCCCGACGCAUAGUCGGCUAACUCAUUCAAAUAUAUCAUAACCGUCACGGAUGGUUACUCCACUGAUAUCGCAGCGUAAUCCAUGGAGACUAAUAAUCC
Molecule: long non-coding RNA, 211 nt
Filed under: Elaeis guineensis (African oil palm)
Lineage: Eukaryota; Viridiplantae; Streptophyta; Magnoliopsida; Arecales; Arecaceae
Description: long non-coding RNA (EGUI_LNC023594)
Source: RNAcentral